This 687-nucleotide long non-coding RNA is filed under the name Coturnix japonica (Japanese quail). RNAcentral describes it as "lncRNA (ENSCJPG00005003518.1)". Lineage: Eukaryota; Metazoa; Chordata; Aves; Galliformes; Phasianidae. The record is from RNAcentral.
AUGACUUCUCUACCAUUUAUCUACUCAGCUUUGCAUGUUGAUUCCCAGCUACAUCCUGCUCUUAACAUCCCUUUCUGGAGGCACAAAAACGAAGAUUUUACACUUCAUGGAAACAAACAUUUAUCUGAAAUCAUCCAAUUAGACUAACAGCUGCAGAGAUUGAAAUAAGUCUUGCAUAGGAGAAAAUCAAAGAAAAUGCAGCUGAGUACUAUGUAAAGCAGCGAAGGUAAGUCAUUUUCUCUCUUUUUCUUCAAUAAUACUUAAUUUCAAGGACUUUUAGGAUAAGGUAAUGACUAUAGGAUUGUUACAUACAAAAUGGGGAAAAUAAUUUACUGUGAAUUGUGAUGGAUCCUGUUAUACUGUUAGUUGGUGCUCUGUUUUUUUCUAAACUAUUUAUUGUUUCUUUCAAAGUGGGUGGAGUUUCUUCUUAACCCAGUUCAGCUAUAAUAUCAUCAUUAUUAUUUCAAAAGGUUUUAAUGAAGAUGAGUAACACUAUCCAUAUUGGGAUGACUCUCCUGGAUGAGUCAUCAACAUUUAAAAUUUUUGUCCAAAGUACUUUCGGAGAUUGUAAACUAUAAACAAAAUAUGAAAACGAUCAGACAAAAAUGUAGAGGUCAAAACCGAAUAACUCAGAAGAAGGUGAAAACGGACUUGUAGAUAAUGAAUAAAAACUUACUGUCAACAACA